Molecule: ribosomal RNA, 253 nt
Filed under: uncultured bacterium
Lineage: Bacteria
Description: partial 16S ribosomal RNA
Rfam family: Bacterial small subunit ribosomal RNA
Source: RNAcentral
UACAGAGGGGGCAAGCGUUGUUCGGAAUUACUGGGCGUAAAGGGCGCGUAGGCGGCCUGCUAAGUCGAACGUGAAAUCCCCGGGCUCAACCCGGGAACUGCGUCCGAUACUGGCAGGCUUGAAUCCGGGAGAGGGAUGUGGAAUUCCAGGUGUAGCGGUGAAAUGCGUAGAUAUCUGGAGGAACACCGGUGGCGAAGGCGGCAUCCUGGACCGGCAUUGACGCUGAGGAGCGAAAGCCAGGGGAGCAAACGGG